UACGAAGGGGGCUAGCGUUGUUCGGAAUUACUGGGCGUAAAGCGUGCGUAGGUGGUUAUUUAAGUCGGGUGUGAAAGCCCCGGGCUCAACCUGGGAAUUGCAUUCGAGACUGAAUAGCUAGGGUACGGUAGAGGGAAGCGGAAUUUCCGGUGUAGCGGUGAAAUGCGUAGAUAUCUGGAGGAACACCGGUGGCGAAGGCGGCAUCCUGGACCGGUAUUGACGCUGAGGCGCGAAAGCUAGGGGAGCAAACGGG
Molecule: ribosomal RNA, 253 nt
Filed under: uncultured bacterium
Lineage: Bacteria
Description: partial 16S ribosomal RNA
Rfam family: Bacterial small subunit ribosomal RNA
Source: RNAcentral